Molecule: ribosomal RNA, 437 nt
Rfam family: Bacterial small subunit ribosomal RNA
ACGGAAGGCAGCAGUGGGGAAUAUUGGGCAAUGGGCGAAAGCCUGACCCAGCGACGCCGCGUGAGGGAAGAAGGUCUUCGGAUUGUAAACCUCUUUCAGCAGGGAAGAAGCAAGUGACGGUACCUGCAGAAGAAGUCACGGCUAACUACGUGCCAGCAGCCGCGGUAAUACGUAGGUGGCAAGCGUUGUCCGGAAUUACUGGGUGUAAAGGGAGCGCAGGCGGGACUGCAAGUUGGAUGUGAAAUACCGGAGCUCAACUCCGGGGCUGCAUCCAAAACUGUAGUUCUUGAGUGGAGUAGAGGUAAGCGGAAUUCCGAGUGUAGCGGUGAAAUGCGUAGAUAUUCGGAGGAACACCAGUGGCGAAGGCGGCUUACUGGGCUCUAACUGACGCUGAGGCUCGAAAGCGUGGGGAGCAAACAGGAUUAGAUACCCUGGUA